This 1247-nucleotide long non-coding RNA is filed under the name Triticum aestivum (bread wheat). RNAcentral describes it as "long non-coding RNA (TAES_LNC008505)". The record is from RNAcentral. Lineage: Eukaryota; Viridiplantae; Streptophyta; Magnoliopsida; Poales; Poaceae.
AAGUUUGGAACAGAAAAAAUUAGAGGGUAAAGAUAAAUAUAUAAAUAUAUGUGAAAAUUACAAAUAAUUUGAAUUAUGCUGCCUCAGUUUGUACCAUGUGCUACAACAGAUUAGAAUACCGCUAUAGAAGGGGGCACUUCGAAGCUCAAAUAGCCGUCAGGUAUCUUUGUGUGAGUCAGCUUGCAGGAGAUUUACAAAUCCUUUUGCAGAUUCCUUAAGAUUGAAGGAAGACAAGGAAAACAUUAAAAAGAUGAUGAGAGAAAAAUUAUGGACUAUGAAGUGAAGUAGGCAAAUGAACGAGUACUAGAUUCAGCAUUUGAACAGUAGCAUAAUCUAUAAUUCGAAAUGAAACUACACGCAUAGAGUUAGGUACCAUAUGGUAGGAAAGACCGGAGGCGGAGGAAAGAACCGUCGUGCUUUAGAUAGACCUUUUGCAGCAGCAUGCACCUGUCAAAUGGGUAAUUGAGUAUCCUCACAUGAUCAUCUAAAAAAUCCACAUAAUGAGCAAAUGUGGCAGUUCUACUAGAAAUAUCAACAGCAACGGCAACACUAGAUUCAACAAAUACCGCACUAAAAAUCUAAGGAUGAAACGGAAGGGCAUAUCAAGAACACCAAAGUUUUUGAAAGAUAGACCGUGUAAGCAGAUUCAAUAUCCUUGUCCGGAAAAACAUGUAAUUCAAUAUACUGAGAAAAGAAUAAUAAUAAUAUGGGCGAUCAAUUGUUAUAGUUGCUAAUCAAUGUUCAAUGUUGAAAUAACAGGCAUAAAAAAUACUUGGACUAUAAGCCAGCAAGCAGCACUCUUGGUCUCUUGCAUUGGUCAAUGCUCAUGUACAUUCUUCCUAAGAUAUAAAUUUCAGGUUAAAUUCAAGACCAUGUUAGCACGGAUUUCAGCGGUCAGUAUGCUUGCAACUAACAAGCAGGAUGAUUUUCAACCACAUACUCCAAAGUAGCUAACUGAUUUUGCGGAUUGUGAUCUGGGAGGAAGCCCAUCAGAUCUCGAACCCAACAGGGCAUUUGGAUCCAGGCAUCUGACGAACUGGGCAGAAUUUGGAUACAAGAAGAGACCGCUCGUAAUAAAUCUUGGUCCAAACGUGAGAUUUAUAGCACGGGGAAAAACAGCGAUUUGAUUUACCAGCAGAUCGGAACCGCGCGCGGCAUGGGGAGGCGCUUUUCUUCCCCUGUUCGGCAUCGCCGGUAAACCUAGGAAACGGCGGUCGCCAAAUCAGUAAAGAAUGAACAGCGAGACG